GACGAACGCUGGCGGCGUGCUUAACACAUGCAAGUCGAGCGGUAAGGCCCCUUCGGGGGUACACGAGCGGCGAACGGGUGAGUAACACGUGGGUGACCUGCCCUCAGCUCUGGGAUAAGCCUGGGAAACUGGGUCUAAUACCGGAUAUGACUCCAUGACGCAUGUCGUGGGGUGGAAAGCCUUGUGCGGCUGGGGAUGGGCCCGCGGCCUAUCAGCUUGUUGGUGGGGUGAUGGCCUACCAAGGCGACGACGGGUAGCCGGCCUGAGAGGGCGACCGGCCACACUGGGACUGAGACACGACCCAGACUCCUACGGGAGGCAGCAGUGGGGAAUCUUGCGCAAUGGGCGAAAGCCUGACGCAGCGACGCCGCGUGAGGGAUGACGGCCUGGUGU
Molecule: ribosomal RNA, 393 nt
Filed under: uncultured bacterium
Lineage: Bacteria
Description: bacterial SSU rRNA
Rfam family: Bacterial small subunit ribosomal RNA
Source: RNAcentral